RNAcentral lists this long non-coding RNA (435 nucleotides) under Sorghum bicolor (sorghum). RNAcentral describes it as "long non-coding RNA (SBIC_LNC007311)". The record is from RNAcentral. Lineage: Eukaryota; Viridiplantae; Streptophyta; Magnoliopsida; Poales; Poaceae.
GCACUCAUAGAGGUACCCGCUGUCACCGCUAUUAUCUAAACUUUCAUCGAUGUUCUGAGGAGGUUUGCCGGUUCAAUGAUACUAUAUGCGAAUGUUGGCCGGUUCAGUGGUUCUGGUGAUAUAUAUCCAAUAUAUGCGUCAGGUCAUAUUGCAGUAUCCUAUAUCCCCUGUAUGCCUCUGGUGACACACGUCAUAUUGCUGUGUAGGGUGGAUCACAUGACAAUAUGCCACAACUGAUCAGCUUUCUUGGUGUUGCGUAAUAAAUUCAUUUAUCUAUAGAAACUAGUAUUAUAAACUUUGCAUUGUGGAGGAUAGAAUCUUGUGAUGGAGUCUUCUAGGUUUAGACUCUAUCAGUAGAGUCUGCACUGUGAGUACUCUUAUGUAAGCAUCAAGUUGGACACAGAUGCAUGAUGGGUCCAAAUAACAAGUGUUGUG